This 297-nucleotide signal recognition particle RNA is filed under the name Hofstenia miamia. Its description in RNAcentral is "metazoan signal recognition particle RNA". It matches the Rfam family "Metazoan signal recognition particle RNA". Rfam says of the family: The signal recognition particle (SRP) is a universally conserved ribonucleoprotein. It is involved in the co-translational targeting of proteins to membranes. The eukaryotic SRP consists of a 300-nucleotide 7S RNA and six proteins: SRPs 72, 68, 54, 19, 14, and 9. The record is from RNAcentral. Lineage: Eukaryota; Metazoa; Xenacoelomorpha; Acoela; Hofsteniidae.
GCCGGAUGCAGUGGUGUGUGUCUGUAACUUCAGUUACUAGAAGGGCUUGAACUAGAGGAUUGUAGUUGAUGAAGGAUACUACCUGAGUUGCUCAUACGUAGAUCUUGUGUUCUAUCUAAGCUUUCUGUCAAUAUGGGAUUUACUCGAAAGAGUUAUUUCCAGGUUGCUUAAAGAGAGGUGAACUGGUUGAGGGCGGUAAUGCAGCAGACAAAAGCUUCCGCAGGGAGUAGUAGAAGAACAUCGUGAGUGAGUGUGACGAUUUGGGUAGCUUCAUUGGCAUGCGAGACCUAGUGUAAC